ACCGUGCAAAGGUAGCAUAAUCAUUUGUUCUCUAAAUAAGGACUUGUAUGAAUGGCCACACGAGGGUUUAACUGUCUCUUACUUCCAAUCAGUGAAAUUGACCCCCCCGUGAAGAGGCGGGGAUGAAUUAAUAAGACGAGAAGACCCUAUGGAGCUUUAAUUAACUAACCCAUAGUAAGAACACUUAACCACCAACCAGGUCUAACAAAACCUUACUAAUGGGUUAGCAAUUUAGGUUGGGGUGACCUCGGAGAAUAAAACAACCUCCGAGUGAUACAAGCACAGACAAACCAGUCAAAGCAUCCUAUCAUUUAUUGAUCCAAUAACUUGAUCAACGGAACAAGUUACCCUAGGGAUAACAGCGCAAUCCUAUUUGAGAGUCCAUAUCAACAAUAGGGUUUACGACCUCGAUGUUGGAUCAGGACAUCCCGAUGGUGCAGCAGCUAUCAAAGGUUCGUUUGUUCAACGAUUAAAGUCCUACGUGAUCUGAGUUCAGACCGG
This 501-nucleotide ribosomal RNA is filed under the name Martes martes (European pine marten). Its description in RNAcentral is "partial large subunit ribosomal RNA". It matches the Rfam family "Bacterial large subunit ribosomal RNA", at positions 1945 to 2619 of the family's 2925-position model. Lineage: Eukaryota; Metazoa; Chordata; Mammalia; Carnivora; Mustelidae. The record is from RNAcentral.